RNAcentral lists this ribosomal RNA (497 nucleotides) under uncultured bacterium. RNAcentral's name for it is "partial 16S ribosomal RNA". It matches the Rfam family "Bacterial small subunit ribosomal RNA", at positions 28 to 507 of the family's 1533-position model. The record is from RNAcentral.
GAUGAACGCUGGCGGCGUGCCUAAUACAUGCAAGUAGAACGCUGAAGCUUGGUGCUUGCACCGAGCGGAUGAGUUGCGAACGGGUGAGUAACGCGUAGGUAACCUGCCUGGUAGCGGGGGAUAACUAUUGGAAACGAUAGCUAAUACCGCAUGACAACAGUUAUUGCAUGAUAACUGUUUAAAAGGGGCAAUUGCUCCACUACCAGAUGGACCUGCGUUGUAUUAGCUAGUUGGUGAGGUAACGGCUCACCAAGGCGACGAUACAUAGCCGACCUGAGAGGGUGAUCGGCCACACUGGGACUGAGACACGGCCCAGACUCCUACGGGAGGCAGCAGUAGGGAAUCUUCGGCAAUAGACGGAAGUCUGACCGAGCAACGCCGCGUGAGUGAAGAAGGUUUUCGGAUCGUAAAGCUCUGUUGUAAGAGAAGAACGAGUGUGAGAGUGGAAAGUUCACACUGUGACGGUAUCUGACCAGAAAGGGACGGCUAACUACGUG